CCAACUUCUUUCAGGUAUCCUUUGAGGUGGAGAGGCUAUCCCUUGAGCCAGCUGCAGACAAAAUGGAGGGGUCUCCCUGGGGUUUAAAAAGACUUUCUCUUGUAGGUGGACACUCCUCCCUCCCCCUUCAUACAUUCAUAGAAUAUCAGGGUUGGAAAGGACCUCAGGAG
Molecule: long non-coding RNA, 170 nt
Organism: Dermochelys coriacea (leatherback sea turtle)
Lineage: Eukaryota; Metazoa; Chordata; Testudines; Dermochelyidae
Exons: 3
Source: RefSeq, a predicted model, not a curated record